UCCCUGGUAGCUCAGAUGGUAAAGAAUCUGCCUGCAAUGCAGGAGACCCAGGUUCAAUCUCUGGUCAGGAAG
Molecule: transfer RNA, 72 nt
Filed under: Bos taurus (domestic cattle)
Lineage: Eukaryota; Metazoa; Chordata; Mammalia; Artiodactyla; Bovidae
Also listed under: 2 other names
Rfam family: tRNA
About the family: Transfer RNA (tRNA) molecules are approximately 80 nucleotides in length. Their secondary structure includes four short double-helical elements and three loops (D, anti-codon, and T loops). Further hydrogen bonds mediate the characteristic L-shaped molecular structure. tRNAs have two regions of fundamental functional importance: the anti-codon, which is responsible for specific mRNA codon recognition, and the 3' end, to which the tRNAs corresponding amino acid is attached (by aminoacyl-tRNA synthetases). tRNAs cope with the degeneracy of the genetic code in two manners: having more than one tRNA (with a specific anti-codon) for a particular amino acid; and 'wobble' base-pairing, i.e. permitting non-standard base-pairing at the 3rd anti-codon position.
Source: Rfam by way of RNAcentral